GAUGAAGAACGCAGCGAAAUGCGAUAAGUAAUGUGAAUUGCAGAAUUCAGUGAAUCAUCGAAUCUUUGAACGCACAUUGCGCCCCCUGGUAUUCCGGGGGGCAUGCCUGUCCGAGCGUCAUUGCUGCCCAUCAAGCACGGCUUGUGUGUUGGGUCCCGUCCCCCUCUCCCGGGGGACGGACCCGAAAGGCAGCGGCGGCACCGCGUCCGGUCCUCGAGCGUAUGGGGCUUUGUCACCCGCUCUUGUAGGCCCGGCCGGCGCUUGCCGACACCCAACCAUUUUUUUCAGGUUGACCUCGGAUCAGGUAGGGAUACCCGCUGAACUUAAGCAUAUCAAUAAGCGGAGGA
This 347-nucleotide unclassified non-coding RNA is filed under the name soil metagenome. RNAcentral's name for it is "partial contains 5.8S ribosomal RNA, internal transcribed spacer 2, and large subunit ribosomal RNA". The stretch from base 1 to 120 matches the Rfam family "5.8S ribosomal RNA", at positions 35 to 154 of the family's 154-position model. The record is from RNAcentral.